CGUUCAGACAAUAUUUUCCAUUUGUUAAAUGGAAUUUUUUUAAAAAGCCUGAAGAGUACCAAGCAAUUAAAAGAAUCAAACCUGAUUCCCAACAUCUGUCCAGUCACAUUUGAAUGUUCCUGGGUUUCCUCAUCAGCGAACAGAAUGAGAUUAAGGGAUUGUACUCAUUGAGCCAAGCGCAGUGCUCACUUUGAAAAGAAUGAAGACUCAACAGGUAAUUACUUCACCUGGUAUUGACACUGGACAUCCACUUGCCAAUCUGAAGUAAGAUACCUGAGUUUUCUCAGUUGUUUGUCUGGCAAUAUUAAACAAGGCACUCACCUUAGCGUCCCAAAUUAAUACCUGUGUACUUUGUGGAUUCCUCCUGCAGGUCCUCCGGCAGCAGGAGGGGGGUAGAGUGAUUACAUAAUAGCCAUGACAUGCUAUGCGGUGUAAUUACUGACUGCAUUUUACUGCUAGUUAUGAAGUGGUAACGUGUUUCGGUCUUUACUUCCAUCACGCUGGGUAGAGAACGUCCCUCCGCUUCUAGGAAAGCUGUGACCGCCGAUGGAUUUGACUGAAUUUUGGGAGGAUCACUGAUGACAGAACAUAUUUGCUGCUUUGGGUCAAUAAAAGAAUAUAAUACACAUAUCGGCAGAGCGGGCGCUGGUCCUCAAUGGUUUCUUGGAUGUGGAGAAAACCACCUAAUUCAAUGCAGACACAUGAGACAAUAUAAGCACACUUUGUUAUACCAAAACGGACUCUUAUGAGACACUAAAUAUACUUUAGUUAGAAUAGAUAGGCUGUUAGUUCAGUGACACUCGUAAACCGCACCAUCCCUCCUCUCAAUGAGACUUUGGUGUGCCAUCCAUUUCGGAAUUGAUACGAUCUCCUGCUGUUUGUUUGUAUUUCAGAGCUGUCCUAUAUACCUAAGAGAGUGUUUUCUCUCAAACUCCAAAAUGAGAUCAAAACAAUAUAAAACACACAAUCCCAGAGCCAGUGGUCCAGAAAUGCAAUAACAUGUUGUUUUUUUCUUCUCAUUCCAGCAUUAAUGAAGUUCAUUCGUAACAGUUUAGUUUAAUUCCCACAAAUUGAAAGAUGGGCUCUCCAUUAGCAGCAGUGAACAAGUACGACUUCAUUACUACAAGUAGAACUGUGCAUCAUAAAAAUCUUAUUAAAAAUUGCCUUUCCAAAUUGCCAUAUUACUUUCUUUAUGGGGUAAUUUCCAUACUACAUGCAGUAAUAGAAUAUUUUCUUUACCCUCUAGUGCAUAUUAAACUCACUUAUCAUCCCCUAUAAACUCAACGCAUUGUGAAUUUAAUGGGGAAAUAGGAAAAGUUGUUUCCCAUCUUUCCCUGGAAAAUAUAUUUACAAUCCAAAAUUGACAUUGGCAUAUGCUUUAGAGAUGCAAAUAGCCAUUAAGCAGAUAGUCACAACAUAUUCUGUCCCUUCUCAUUAGAAAGCAGCGCCUAUGACAAUGAGUUAAACACAGGAAUGACGUACAAUGGAUUAAAAGAGAGUCCAUGACUUUAAAGUAUAGGUCAAGGUUGGAUGGAUGAAGCAAGGAGUCAAAUACGCCAAUAAUUAAGUGAUAAAUGAUUCAACUCUGAUUAGAAAUAUUGCAAUUUUUCAGUGUUGUCAGUGGAGCAAAGGCAUCAGCACAAUGGACUAGUUACUGCCUUUUUCAUAAUUGAGACUAGACCUUCUAGCUGUGCCCCACAGCUCAUCAUUAAUCAAGUUGAAUGAAGCCGAGGCGAUGUGACACGUCGGAUGGUGAAGGCGCUUUUUUAGGUAUUCAGGCGAACCAGAGAAUCAUUUGUUCACUCUUCAAGCACCCAACGGUUUUCUGCUUGUGUUCAAUGAUAUCUGCUUAGCUUAUUAUCUUUAAUUUAUAGUGUAGUUUUGCUCAAUUGGAUGUUUUGCAGUGUGAAUGUGAUGUAUAACGUCUUUAAAUUAGCAAAGGACAAAUUCUCUUUUGGGUCUAUUAUUGGACUACUGUGUAUUGAAAACUAACGCUUUGCAACAUCUAAUUCCCGGUCCUACUAAAACAUUUACACAUCAUCUCAAACCUCACCUUACAUUUUAAUACAACUCCAACUGUUAGUUUUAGUUUAACUUUGAGCACAUAAAACCCAGUAAAUCUUCAGGUUGACAGUGACAGGCUGUCCUAACUGGCUUGUCACAAAACAAUCAAUAGGUUGGUGUAGAGGCAAAGCCCAUUAUUGUUGAGAAAGAUGUUCAUUAAUUAUGUCAUUUAAUUGGAUUUAGGCAGGUGCACAAUGAACACCUCAGCCAGGGUGGUCAAUGGUGGGAAAGGCCUGAGCGUCACUUCUCUCUUUUUCUAUUAGAAACCAGCAUGGCCCCCUGUCUCCUCGAAUCGCUGUGCUUUUUAUUGAUUAAUGACCCUAAUUUAUUAUCGAGAAGGCUGUGAGUUGCGCUAAAUGUUCUAUUAAUCAACUUUCGGCAUCAAGUUAUGAGGGUCUGCGUUGAAAAUGCCACCAGGAACGCAGGAGGCCAAGUGGCUGUUUUCCCUCGGCUCCUGUCGCAAGAAGUCAGAGGUGCUGAUUUUUAACGGGAGUUAAGAGUCUUUCGUGGCUCUAAUACCGGCUGUCCCGAGUGACGAAUGUCCUUGCGAGGAACGGAACAUAAUGCCGUUUGAUGGAGCGACCGCCACGUUCCUUCCACGAGAAUAAUGAAACACCCGUUCACACCCUCAACGACCAUCUAUUCAUUUGAGAACAGGAGCGAGAAAAUGCCGGCAGCUCCGAAUAUAUCACAGAUAGAUCAACAAUAUUAUAUUACGCUGAAAACAGAUGAGAGGUUAAAGGACUGGAGGCAAAGCUACAAUGAAUCCCAACCCUCGCAUGUCUGUGCAGGGCUAUUAUUUCCCGUUGAGUGAAGACAUUUAUGACACUUUAAACUCAGCUUUGUACAAACUACAAUUGAUCAUAAUUUCUGAAUACUUUGCCGAACAUCCUCCAGCUGGUAGUUACUCCAAAUGCAUUUGAACCCUUCAAAAGUACUCUUUUUUCUGCAGCCGUGUUUUGAUGUAUUUUUUGAAGGAUUUUACAAUUAACCUCUUAAGCACGCUGGAAGUCAGUGCCACUUAAAUUGUCCCUAAUUUAACUGUGAAGGUUAUAACUAGAAAUCGGUCCACAUACUUGUUAUUUUUUAUUGAAUUAAUGUAGAAUUAAACUCGCUGUACUAAGUUACAAGUUAACGCGAGCAAAUGUUUUUUCCUUUCAGUUUUCCAUUCUAAUUAAUUGGGUUUUUUUGCUUCCUUUCCAACAUUUUUUUGGGAAUUUCCAAACUUUUUGCUGAUAUUAAAUGAUAUUAAAUGUAAAUGAUAUUUACAGCUUAUUUGAUUAUGAGACCAACUGUUAGUUGCCGCCGUAGCUGUGUCAAAUCUAUAGAAAAAUAUCACAAUUCAAAGCCUGACGGACUGCUGCUUGCUACUGUAAUCAAUUACGCCUCUUGGGGUAAAAGCUUGAGGUUAAAGGUAAUUGUAAACACGCUGCUAUCUAGCUCGGAUCGGGAUGUAUUUUCCCUCGGGGCGAGGCCCCGGUGUCACAGGCUGAAACAGGGUCACAGGAAGCGUGGAAGCAGUCAGGAAUCACAGGGGAAAUGUAAACAACGUUCCCAAAAUGGCUCCAACAUGACAGGAAACAAGCAGAUCCUCCAAAUGACGUCGACCCAUUUGAUUUUUUUUCCCUUUUUUUCCCCCUCCCCCCUCUGCUUUCAAAGGACGGCAACCUUCGAGCUGAUUUUUAAUUUCAUGCGCAGCGCUGACGUUCACAGCGCUGGCAGGUGUGCCUGACUCUCCGAGGUUUGCCCUGCGGCACGCAUGGCUGAGCCGCGAAAAAAAAAGCAAUGUCCCAUGAUGAUCAGGGACAAUCCGCUGGUUUGUCAAAACCUGGCAGAAUCUCCGGCUCCGGCAACAGCACCUUGUUAGAUUGAGGUGCUCAAUCAGGGGAGUGCUGGAGUGCCCGGCCAGGUUGAGAGUGGUGAUUACCGGUGCACGGCUGUCCAAAGCCGCUGAAACGCUCCGCCUCUCCACAGGAGGCCCUCUGACAUUCAAGCCUGCAUUUUCUGAAUCAGUCUUGAGUGAUUAGGGCAGCGACAGGCAAAAGGACAGAUCAAACAAUUAUUCCUCUCUAUCCUUUUGACGUGUGGCAGAGCAGGAAGAGCUGCAGCCCUCGCUGUCGACCGCGUGCUAAAUCUGCCCUAAUAGAGAGGACAUUCAGGUGUUUGUUUUAUUCUUUCAAAAAAUGCUGCUUUUGUCAUUUUAUUAAAUAAACGGUUCGUCUUUUGAAGGGAAAGGUCGUCCUUUUUUUAAUAGAAAACAUAAAGCUGAACAAAUAGUGAAAGAAAACCACUAAUCAAUGUGAUUCUUUGACAAGCAGAACUGUUGUGCUUUAAAAGCAUUGUGCCAAAGCAACACGCCACUAAUAUUUUUGUAUCAUAGAAGCCCACUCACAGGCAUUAGCAAAAGUAGGAAUGUGCUUUUGCAGUCAUUUGUGUCUGUUUGUAUAAACCUGCAGGCUUCACGAUAAAACUGCAUGACCGCAGAGAUCAACAAAAAACAAAACAGCACCCACAUCUCGCAGCAUUUUCAAUCAUAUUUACAUCAUAUUUAACUGCACAGUAGGCGGUUUUGUUGUUUGCCGCCGCGCCGUCGACGCUGCCGGGACCCACAGCGGUAAAAAUGCAAUCGGCGCGAAACAGAGUGAAGGCAGUACAGCGUGCUUCGGAGCACAAGAGGGCAGUGUAAAAUCCCUCCGCCAGCCGCCCGGCCCACCAACUCGCCGCCCACCUGAAACAACAGCCGUAAAAAAAGGAAAAAAAAAACGGUUGUAGGCCGCCAAUCUCCAAUGGCUGUUUUCCUCAGUGAAGUGCAGGCCCGAGAUCUGAUUACAGAGGGGAAACGAGACCACAGUCUGCUUACCGGGGACGGGGUGACAGUUUUGCGUGACCGUUCAGCGGGGAUUCCCCUUUCAUCUUGGUGGAGAGCGCUAUCCAUCUGCGCGAGUGUGCGUUUUCAGACGAGACAACAAACAGAAUCGGCAAAUUAAUAAAAAGAAAUACAAAAAUGAGCGAGAUAACCUUGCGUCGUCUCGGCUUCGCUGGCUCUGAGCAGAUUAUCAAAGAGGAGGUUGUGGGAAGUGAGUUGAAUAAUGUAAAAUUCAGGGAACUUUCAGUGAAUGAGUUGUUUGCUCUCUUUGUGGAGGAGAUGAAACGCGAAUUGCACCUCGUUGCUGUUGAAAAUAACUUGGAACAUCAACAUUAUCUUUCAUUCAGAGCUGAGAAAUGUUGCAGAAACCCAAAUGGCUGCCAGCAGAGCAUUUGGGUGAACUAAUCCUUGGAGGAAAUUAUAUGCUGUACAGGUUUAAUCACACGGAUAAAGAAACUAUAAUCCAAAGAGUUUUAGCUGCUAUAAAAUGUCACAUGAAGAUCGUCAUCAGCAAAAAAAACACUAAAUCAUCCAACUAGAAAGAAGCAUGAAAAGAAAUGUGCACAUGGAUUCUUUUAUAUUUUGAAAGAGCAUACAUACGUUUCCUGUAGGUGUGAUAGUGUGUGUGUGUGUGUGUGUGUGUGUGUGUGUGUGUGUGUGUGUGUGUGUGUUUGUGUGUGUGUGUGUGAGCGUGAUAUUUCGGUUGUAGCCUUUCAGAAAGUGGCCUACUUCAAAGGCUCAGGGAUUAGAGGCUUUUUUUUUCAUCCCAUAAUUAAUAUGACGGAGGAGAAGGCGACAGCACCUGUAAACUGGACGGGGCCGCCGGUAUCCUACUGUGGCCAGAGAGCACCCCACUACCCACAAUGCACCACAUGCCGACUCCUUCAAAGACACAAUACCAUGUUAACCACAUGUCUUCAUUCGAUAGGCUUAAGGCUAUCUUUGUUUGGUUCAUGUCGGGUGUUUGAAGACCAAAACAAAUAAGCACAUGUAUUCGUUCAAAUUAAAAUGAAGAGCCUGGCUUUCGCGUUUCUGGUUUAAAUAUAUUUGGGGGAAAUUAUUGACGUUUUUUUCAAGCCUGAUCAACCGCGUUUUCAGUUUUGGGGAUAAAAUCUGUUGCCAACGCUGAAACUAUGAAACCAUGUAUCAUUUUUUUUAACUUUGGCUCAAACCAAAAAAUGGUUUUGUAUUAUUUUGUUGCUUAGGCAACAACAAUAUUUUAAAAAGAUCUAUUUUAAGCACAUUGAUGACAUAUAGGCCCAUACAGGCGGUUCUACGUAUAUAUGCUGUACUGUAAUCUGAAUUUGACAUUUCCUCCUCUAGUUAUCCCGAGUCCACAAACAGGUGAAAGGUUGCCUUGCUUUCAGAGGGAAUGCUGAUUUGAAAUUGCCAGCAGUUGCUUUGGAGAAUUCCCUGGUUGCUUUGAAGUGUGCACCCCACUGAGUGUCCUAACUUUGACACAGAGGGCCAUGGCUGCGGCUAUUUAUACAUCUUGUGGGAGAAUAGGUCUUCCCCCACGUAACAGACUAUAUUCUUUUCUCCCUCUAAAGCCAUCCUGAAAAUACAGCCAUGCCGCAGAAUUUGGUGUUGGUUGGUUGGGUUAGUGUGAUAAUUGAAAGAAGUAGUCUGAAGAAGUGUCUGGCCUCGUUUGGAUCUCUGUGUUGUUGUUUAACGUUGUUAUUUUUACUGUUGUUGAGGAUUGUGGCUGCCUCCCUGGCGACUUCUAUAUAGUAAAGUAACGGGGUCACAGUCAGAGAGUCCAAACCAAUGCAUCUCUCACAAUUCUCACAGUCUAUUGAUUCUCCCUCUGAAAUUUAUGUUGCUUUUCAGUGGGACCCCCUGCUGUGGCCCUCACAGCCUCCCCCCACAGGAGGGUCACGGUGACACAAGAGUGUUGGGCCAGAUGCCGAGUGAUCCCCUCUGAUGCACCUCCACAUCUAAAAGCCACAUCCAUCGCCGAUGUAAGACGAUCAGCCGAGAAAUACCGCACGCCGAACCUGAAUCUCCAGCACUGCCCGCUCUCCUGCUUGCCGUUUUUUUUUCUUUUUCCUUUAAUUCUAUCAAACAACAGCAAGUGUAAAUCUCCGGAGCAAAUGCUUGGAGAAAAUUUUAAAAAAAGAUGGGGGAAGAAGUGGGGACGAUGAAGAGGGCGAAAACAGAAAGAAAGAAAAAAAAAACACACACACACACACAAGCGGAGAACAAAAUAGUCCAGCUGGUCCACCUUUGCCACUGGAAGUCACCCCGUGUUUUUGUCAGGGUGCGUGUGAACAAAACGGCCUUUGAAGUUGUGUUACAGCACUGUACUGUGGCAUCACUACGGCCACUACUAAGCCCCUGCAAAAAUGCGCUGGGUGGUUAUAGAAAAUGCUGUAGAAUCCAGUCAUAAAUCAACUAAAUUUUCAUGCAAAUCGCCUCCUCCAUGGGGCAGUAAUGUAGUGUGUAUAGCAGCAUCAAUAGUGCAUAAAAGGCACCGUUUGGCACUUAAAAGAGAAAUCAUUGAGACAUCACAGACCAAAUGCACACACAACCUUCAAGGUCAAACACUGCGAAAUAAUGAAACCCUGACACACAGAGAGAGAGAGACACACACACACACACAGACACACAAUUGGGAGGUACAACAAGACUGGAGAGUCGUUAAGGCUUUUAUCUUCUGCUUGAAGGAGAAAGAUCCACCCGACAUCCCAGAGGGUACUGAUCAAUCACGGCCUGACUGGUUCAAACUGUUUGUGCUGGAUUCCACAUCUAUCACCAUCCGAUGGAGCUCUGUGUCCGACUACAGCAGCCCCGGAAAAAAAAGAGAGCACUUUCAAUUAGGGCAUGGCGAAAUAGAUUCACACCACUUGAUUUAUAGUGCACGACUAAUUACACAAGCCUUUUUUUUCUGCCUAAUGCAGACGGAGCUGAGACUUAGCCUUGUACCUAAGGAGGUUAUUGUCUUACGGUAGUUUCCAUGUCCUUUAGAACGGCUCAUGAUAAUGACAUGAAGGAUAACAACGGACUCAGCCGCUUUGAUGUUUGAGAGUAGAGCAUCGGGGUUUUUUUCUUAAUAACGUCAAGUAUUUUAUCUAAUCACGGAAGACGCCGUGAUUUAAAGAGUUCAUUUCCCAGCCAUGUUUUUUAAGACGAAGACAUGUGAUGCGAAGCAGACGUUAAGGAUCGGGCCUGCAAUAUACUUUCAAUUUCAAUCACGGCUUUUCUGCACUACGCAUAAGUGUAAGAUUAUGUCAUUUACUUAAAUGUUGCCACAAGCCUGUACCUCAGGGGUGGAUAGGAAGGCUUAACAAUAGGUACAAGCUACAGGCAGAGCACUGGGGUACGCUGCAGCUCAUGAAUAUCAUUAGCUGUGAGCUGAAUUUGUAUUACUUUGGGAUUACAUCUAAACCUGCAACGCAACCUGAUUGUAAUUGCGAACUGAAAAUAUGUAAUAUAAUCGUAUGUAAAGCAAAUGUAAAAAUACAAAUCAUGUUGUUGCAUUGAGAACCAUCCCUGUUGGUCGGUUCUUGUAAAGAGGUCAGGGAGUCUGGAUGCUCUUUAUUCUUUCUUUUUUUUUCACAGGGCCAUUUAUAAAGUAUGAUUCACUGCCGUUCGUAAUGAAAACACAUAAAGAAGCAAGACGUGUGAGAUGUCUUCAUUGCCUCAGUACAAACACCCUGAAGGCUUUUUUCACUCCUUUUCAGGUGAAUAGAAGCAAAAGAAACCUCCAUGCUCCUUAGUUUUACAAUGAAAUGUACCAGAUGGCUUUUACAACUUCAUUUAUCCGCUAAGCACACAAUUAUCCACCUACAACAUUUCCACACUAGUAUUUAACUCUCUGUAAUCAGUGCUAUCGGGGGACGGUUGAUCAUGAAUUUAGUCCUCCUAUGUACCUUAAACAAAAUCAUCUGAUAAUGAAGGAGUUCUCGUGUUUGAACACCCCCCUCUCCCAAAGACACUGGAUCCCACAGUAGCAGAGGUGGCGUAGAUGGGUGUCAAGCUGGGAAUUUAGACACAUUUCCCUUCAACAAGCCUCAAAGAAUUACACAAUCUCCCUCGAGACGGUCUACGCCUCCCUAUAGGUGCUACAUCUAAGACGAGAGGUGGUGUGAGAUGGUGACGAGCGAACAUGAUUUCAUUAAGAACCCGACUUGUUGCACCAGGCUCUUGAUCGUGAUUAGAUCUUCCGACACUGAAAUAUUAUUAGCCAAUCAUUUUGUGCAAUAUGGCAAGUGUGCUUUCAACUCAAGAACUAACAAUGUGAUUCCUGAACAUUCAAGUUGUUGAAAACCGAUUCCACCAAUUGUAACAAUUUGGCGAUUUUGUUUGAAUCCUCAAAGAAAACCUUUUGAGAAAAAUGCUGGAUCAAAAACAGGAACUUGAGCAACUCGAGUUUGAAUGAACGUCACCGUGGGGCGAUGUAGUAAAAAGAUUCGGAUUAAAAACCCCGACAGUGACACGAGGUUCCACUCAGACGGAAUUUGAGAGCUGCUGAUCAACCCCCAGUUAAGGCCAAGCAAGCAGGACGGAAGGUGUCAGUUCAGAGCUUAGCUGGAGGCAUAAACGCCACACUCCUCCUUAAGCAAGAUGAAAGAAUGUUCCGCUUGACACAAACCCGCCUGAACACUUUGACGGAUGUGAUGGACCAACCCCCUCCACCACCCCCCGCCCCAAAAGACGCGUAGCGACGGCAGAUGAUCUGCUCCAGGUAAGCAGCAUCAUGCGUUUUCAAAGUGCUUUACUCGUUGAAAGAGGUUGAUUUCAAAGUCACUGCUAGUCUGCAGCUCGACAGAUUUCCUGCCCAUUCGGAUGUCUGGCAAAGUCACGGAUGUCUUGGAGGCACAGGUGAUAAUGGGGCCUUAAUCGCCACGCCGGUUCUGCUUGUCCCUCUCAAUGUCACAUAUCCGGAUGAAUGUGGUACGUAUCAGCCCAUAGUUGGAAUAGUUUUGUCAGACCAAGGUCCUGGUCACAUGAAGUGGGUGAGAGAUGAAAGGUGCAUCUAAAGCUAGUGUACUGUAUAAUCACCAGGUUAAUGCUAUUGGGAAGUUGCAAAUUUGGAUUAAAAAUAAAGUUGAAAGCAAGCGAGAUGUGAAGGCUUUCUAAACGGAAGGCGGCUGCUUUGAGGGUUUUUAGCAUUUUCGACACAGACAGGUGAUCAGAGUAGAAGUGUAGAGAUCCAGUCUUUGGUCAAUGGGAGUUUUUGUUUAAAACGUCACUGUAAAGUAACACAGAUGACAACAAAUUACUCAUUUUUGUUUGAACCCCCCCCCUCCCUUUUUUUUAAGACAUAAAUCAACAAAAGCAAGUCUCCCAAGACGAUGCUUUGGUGAGGAAGGUUCUUGGCAGAGACACGGUGCCCCCUUCCCUCCUCUUACCCUCGACCAUACCGGCUGUACCUCAUCCAGCAAUGCCUUCCCAGCACCCCUGCUGCUCAAUACCGUCUCAUUUGUUAUGUAUCAAACGCAAAUUUCAGCGCAUUGCCCUCACAUAUGCCGCGGUGCCCCAGUGAUGCACUGGCUCCUGUCCAAUCCUCAGCUGAAUAAACACAGGGGCCAUUUGCAGGUUGGCAGACGCUGAGAUGUUUGUCUUUCAAGGCAAUCCGCCUCCCUUUGCUCGUGUUCACCCUUUCCCUCUCGAACGCAAAAGGGAGGGGAAAGCGGCGAGAGUUUCCAACAGAAGACGUCACCGCGACGCGCGACACUUGAGCCGCUGAGAUUGGCCGUCACGGAGUUCCUUGUGUCAUGGGCAAGAUUUCAAAGUUGCGAGAGGAAGAGGAGGAAAAAAACGGCAAACUUUAGAGGACAUUAUAUCAAAGGAUCAAAUAGGACGAAUAGAUGGUUUGGAAUGAUUAAUCACUGUUAUAACAAAUCCAAUCUGCAAACAGGGACGCAGAUUAAAAUAAAAAGUAAAUCUCAAGUUAAUUAAGUAAUUACACAUGUCAGGAAUCCUGACAAUUGAUUACGAUUAUUUUAUCAAAUUCUACAGUAGACCCAACAUUGUCCCGCGGAAGCGAUAUUCUGCGUCGGUUUGGUUGUGAGGGAGUCUGAUUGUGGCCUGGAUUGUGGAUUGUGGUUUUCUCCGGUGGAUCGACGGUUUAGCCACCAAAUGCACUUUGAUUAACUUCAAGGAAAGAUUGUGGAUUGGUUGAAUAGUGAUUUAUGGAGAAAUAUAACGAAUGCCAUUCCCAUCAACCCCAGGCUGAGCAUGUGUGUGAAUUAACACAUGUGAGUCCAGUGGUGCUGCGGUCGCGCUGACGCCGGCCUGUGGGUCACCUUGCAGAGAUUUUAUUCUGUCACUUAAAGGGAAUGAAAUAUGGAGUAAAACAAUGGAUCCCAGGAUAGAAAAAAAUAACCUCUCCAACUAACACGCUAAAACUAAGAUUUAAACAAAAGGUACUUUUUUGCAAUUUUUUGUUUUGUGGAAAGAAUUUUUAAACUCAAGGUUUCAGGGAUGUGUCUGUGUCUCUAAACUCCCCAACCUUUCAAACAGCCCACUGGAAAACACAGGAAGAACAUGAGCGCGGUAAAUGCAGCUCAGUCCAACCUCCCGGAAAAAUGGUAACAAGAAAACACAAAAACCUAAAACCCUAAAACAAAUGCUACUCUGAAAACACUGUCCUAUUGUGUAUUCAUGACCCGGCUCUUCUUUGGAAUGGCCUUUCAACGACACAAAAGCAAGCGGGGUCUGCUGUUUCUGCCGGUUUAAACAAAUAACAAUGAUGCAACAGGAGUGCUUCCAGUGAAUGUGAAAUACACUGUUGAAUUACCCACAAUGGUUUGCUACGCAUCACAACAGCCAGGACAGGCUCAAUAUUAACAUUUCCUUUUGACGUGUGGCAAAAGGUUUUCUUUAACCCAUGGAGGUUGAAUGGGAAUCAGCGGAUAAUAAGAAAUUAAAAGGUAAAGAGGACACGGGGGAAAGAGUGAGGGAGAAAGCCAAAUCCCAGCCCCAGGGCUUAAUGUAAGAACACAAUGGCCGCCAAGGCAGUAAAGGAGUGGACAUUUCUUAUUCGCCCCCUCCCCUACUGCCACCUGCAUUACAAUUAACCUCAUGGCAACCUUGAGGUCUCUGAUUAGUGAUGGCCUAUUGUCUCGAUCCCAUUAAUGCUCGGCCCCCACUCUGCCCUCAGCGCACUCACAUCAACAAAUCAAACCCAGUUUCCGCCAAGGGUCUUUCACCACACCGAGCUGGCCUUUGAUUUGGGACAGUUAACUAACGGGUGGCUGCGCAGGAGACCUGCAGAGAACUGCUGUCGGUACCUGUGAGGAGUAAGACUAAAACUGAAAUAAGGUUUGUAUUAUCAGACGGCCAAAGCCGCCAUAUUCAAUGUAAACAACAGCUGCAGGGGAUCAACAGAACGAGGACGGAACCUGGAAGAAUGCAACAGGAAAUGGAUACUUUCCUUUGCCUAAUUGAGAAGGAAUCCAAACAUUAUGCCAACCAGGAGAAGUGAAAAACAUGGAAGCGGAAGCACCCCAACAACUCAAAGCACGCCAGAUGUUGAGAUCCCCCCAAGGAGCAAACUGACACAUUAAACAUAACAUCAUCUCAUGCACUGGAGUGCAAUCACAGCUUCUCUCCGGGGAGCUGUUGCACCAUGUGUUGCGGACACUGUUUAAAUCUCAAGAACUAGAAAACGAAUGCACCGCAGGCGGGGUCGGCCCGCGCAAAGAGUACUCCUGGGAGCUCCGAGUCAAGAGCAUCAGCUAUGUUUCUGUUUGUAUUAAGUUCAAAAAUCAACUCAGAGUGGUUAUAACUGAUCAUUGGGAAGAUUGACACCAUCACCAGUAGCACAGUCUUUCCUCUCGUUCCCCACUAGUUGUUCUUUCUCAAAUCACAACUCUCAGAUGGGACAAGGCCAAAAAUAUUCACAGAGUAUUAAUAACAAGAUAAUAAAUGCACCAUUUACCUAACAGAGAGGUGGCAACAUGUUUUGAAGAUCAUCAAACAGACGUUCUUCUUAUUAUAAGUAAAUAUAUAAUCAGAAUUAGUCAAAGUAGCUUCAAAACAUAAACAGUUGUGAGAUGUAAUGCAUAUUUAUCACUUUAAUGAUGAGAUCGAGUAGAAACCAGCUUGGUAGUUUUAGUCAAUGAACAGGACAAUUUCUUGUGCCAAUGUAGGAUUUGCGUGAUGAGGCAGUUAAGUCAAAAAAAAAGAAUUACAAUAAUGUCAUCUUUGCAAGGGAUUGUAAUUACUGCAAUUAUUAUACAGUAAUUAUUGUAAAUACUGAAUGUUUAGUAUUCAUGUGUGUGGAGGUAUGAUAAUGAACUGUGGAGUAAAGCAUUAUUUAUUUCAUCUUUUAGAUUGUUCAUCAAAGAGUUUAAAUGGUUAUCUGACCAUUCUGCUAUCCGCUGGUUCUGCUGAACAUUUCAGAGUUCAUGCUGUGGAUGUAUUAAGGGAUGUGAAUGCUGUGUUUCAUUCAUUCCAGUGAAAGCUGCUAAGCGGUUCACUACCAGAAUAGUUCAGAUUUGAGCGUUUUGUAAUAAUAUUUUAAAGAACACACAAUGGCUGAUAAAAAGACUAUUUAAAGAUAUAUUAUAUUAUUUAAGUAUUUGUGAAACUAAGAUUUUUUCAUUUUUUCCAAUUUAGCAAUUGCUUUGAAAUAAACUGUGUAUGAGCCAGUAUUGUCCUGCAAUCCCAAAUGUGACCAUUGUGUUAGGUAUGACUCACAUAUCAGCCCUGUCCCUAUAGGCUUUAGCCUUAAGUAGCCUUUAAUAGCCUUCAGUAGUCUUCAGUAGCCUUUAGUAGACUGUAGUUGUCUUUAGUAGCUAUCAGUUGGCUUUAGUACCCAUCAGUAGUCUAGUAGCCUUUAUAGCCUUCAGUAGUCUAGUAGCCUUUAGUACCCAUCAGUAGUCUAGUAGCCUUUAGUAGCCUUCAGUAGUCUAGUAGCCUUUAGUAACCUUUAGUCUUUAGAAGUCUUUAGUAGCCUUUAGUAGCCUUCAGUAGUCUUCAGUAGCCUUUAGUAGACAGUAGUUGUCUUUAGUAGCUAUCGGUUGGCUUUAGUACCCAUCAGUAGUCUAGUAGCCUUUAGUAACCUUUAGUCUUUAGUAGCCUUUAGUAGCCUUCAGUAGUCUUCAGUAGUCUUUAGUAGCCUUUAGUAGACUGUAGUUGUCUUUAGUUGUCUUCAGUAGCUAUUGGCUGGCCUUUAGUACCCAUCAGUAGUCUAGUAGCCUUUAGUAGCCUUUAGUCUUUAGAAGUCUUUAGUAGCCUUUAGUAGCCUUCAGUAGUCUUCAGUAGUCUUUAGUAGCCUUUAGUAGACUGUAGUUGUCUUUAGUUGUCUUCAGUAGCUAUUGGCUGGCCUUUAGUACCCAUCAGUAGUCUAGUAACCUUUAGUAGCCUUUAGUCUUUAGAAGUCUUUAAUAGCCUAUAGUAGACUUUAGUAGUCUUUAGUGCACCGCCUGUUUGUUCCAGUGAACACACGUAGGGGGAAGCCCACUAGCGUGAAGCUGGAGCUUCAUCUUUGUGACGAGCGAAAGAGAAGGGACAGAGCGUCUGUCAGUAGCACCUGGCCGCCAGUAACACAGAACCUUGUUAUUAUUAUUAUUGGGACAAAUAUACACUUGUCUGUUAAAAACAAAUAUAAAUGUGUUCAAAAGAAAUCAAAGAUGUGCAACAUAUGAAACUGAUAGUGAUCUGAUUAGUAACAUUUGUGAAUAAAACGUUGAGAAACUUCUAAAGAGACCACAGACAAAGCUAACAGAGGGAGUAUAAUAUGGAGCUUAUUUUUUUGCUGUAAUUGCGUACUUUGAAUUUUGUAGCUGGAAAAUUAGCAUCAGCUUUCUUGGAUCUUCCGCUGGAUUCAUUUGUUUUAUGCUGGCACUAAUGGCCAUUCGGGCUCCGCAGAUAGACUCUGGGGGACGAAAGGGGUCAAUUUAUUCCAACUUAAAAGAAAAUAUUGGUGUUUCUGAGCUUUCUGCUCGUCUCUUUCAUUGUUAGCUCAAAGCCACUUAGACUGUUAUUCAAUCUGUGCAGCGUGUCAUUAAAUGAGCAAUUCAAUACCACAUUUAUCUCUUACUGUUUGGUUUUCCAACAAGUAUCCUCAGAAUCAUCACACACCCUGGAUGAUCCGAUGAGAUGAUUCAUUAAAGCAAAAUUGUGUAGCCUGUUCUCAGGUUAAUAGCAACUUCACAGUUUAUAUUGUUUAUUUUAUCUUCAUCAACGCCUAGGUCAGGCUUGAAUUGAUGAAGAAUGAGUGUUAGGGUUUUUUUGCCUAUUAAGUAUUUAAUCCAUCCUGGCCCAGGUGUGUCGCUCUGUCCAGCUAAGCAAUACAGCAGUUACACCAAUUAUGGGCUGUCCAGUGUGCAGGUGGCGGGGAAGCUUUUGGGGCACACCUGCCAGCUGAUUCAACCAUUAGACCACGUACCACACUGUCUACACCCCUUCUCCCCCUCGGGACGGCCCUCGCCAUGCAGGUGCAGAGACGGAGGAACCAUGAUGGAUUACACCUGAUUUAGCAAAUCCUCCAAUACCUCGUUCACUCUGUGGGAAUGAGACAACUGGAUGCAUAUGUUCUUUACAUUGCCUGAACCAUUUUUUCAUGGUUUUCGAAUUUUGACUCUGACUCUUUGACUGUUGGAAGGUGUAGUGAGCUCUGCCUCCAGUCUGUAAAAUGUGAAAAACUGGACACUCUUGACUUUUUCUCUCAACUUGAAAACAUGUUUUCUACUCCCACUGCAAAAAGGUCCAUUGGCCAAAGAGCUGCCACAUUGCUUUCAUGGCUUCACCCGGCAACCAUGAUACACCUAACAGCACACUCUGACAGCUUUAAGGCCCCGCCAAUGGCCCCACCCAAAAAAACACAAGAUUAAUAGAAACAGAAUGUAAAAGUCUCCAUCCACUCAUAGCAUAGCUGGUUUUAGUUUAAACGUCUGAUUUGACGUAUCAUCAUUUUUGUUUCAAAGCUUACGAAUCGGUUUUAUGUGUAUGGGAUGCAAAAUGCCAAGUGGACAUUUCAUAGAGGAAAGUAUGAUCAAUUACUGUGUUUUCUGAACUGGACAGCUUUUCGAGAUUAAAAAUGUUUGAUAACCUUUUUUCCAACGUAACCAAUCUAAUUUGUCACGAAUGAAAGCGAACACCAGAAACCUCACAUACCGCUGGAAUUCAGGACUAGAAUUCGAGGGUGUCCCAUUAAUAUUCUGAGAGGAAUGCUCAGGCCUGUUGUUAUCUUCCAAAAGAUUCAUCAACGCUGGUAGUUAUUGCCCAGACCCCCCAUGGUCGCAAUUCUUUAUCCUUGCCAUCUCGGUAAACUGCAUUAUUUAGUUAAAAGAUGUAAUUUUAUUCCCCUCACACAAUCUGCCCGACUCCAGGCUGACCGAAAGCAGCCGCACGUAAGUGGGUUUGCACAAAUAACGGCUUAGUCUUUUUCUGUUACAGAUUCAAGAUCCCAAAUCCAGAUGAAAGCCCUGCCCGGAUCUUACGCGAGAAGGGAUUACAGUUUGGUUGCACUCAAGAGUCUGAUAGAUAUUACUAUUACUAACUAUUAAUUCCUUUAGAUGUAUGUAAAUCCUUUGUUUAGCAUGUUUCCGUAUGGUGAAACACAAAGAUGACACAUUACAUCAAACUACGUGUUGAUUUAUUUCAACUGCACAAUUGGUCUCGUCCUUUAAAACGCACACGAGCAUCAGAACAUAAAUCGACACAAAAGACCAACAAGGGGGUUCAAACACAAAACAGGAGCAUUUGCAUUUGAUUUAGUUCACAUGUAAAUGAAUCAUUUAGCUCUUUGCGGCGCUGUUACACACUGCUGUACUGUUUGCAGACGAGCAACUUGUUUUCAUGCUCAUCAUCUCGGCAAUUCAGAGUGGUGUUUUAAUCGAGCCUGUAAACAAAAUGAUCAUUAACCAGCAAUGCAAGGAAAGCGUUUUGUCUUGGUAAAAUAUUACACCAGGUGAGGCUGCGUGUCUUGACAGGUCGCCAUUUCCCAGCCAUAAUUUUGCUCUCUUUGGGGGGGGGGGCAACUCCCAGCCCGGCGGCCCGACAAUUACAU
Molecule: long non-coding RNA, 16895 nt
Organism: Gasterosteus aculeatus aculeatus (three-spined stickleback)
Lineage: Eukaryota; Metazoa; Chordata; Actinopteri; Perciformes; Gasterosteidae
Source: Ensembl